GAGCAGGUGCGAAAGCAGGUCAUAGUGAUCCGGUGGUUCUGAAUGGAAGGGCCAUCGCUCAACGGAUAAAAGGUACUCCGGGGAUAACAGGCUGAUACCGCCCAAGAGUUCAUAUCGACGGCGGUGUUUGGCACCUCGAUGUCGGCUCAUCACAUCCUGGGGCUGAAGUAGGUCCCAAGGGUAUGGCUGUUCGCCAUUUAAAGUGGUACGCGAGCUGGGUUUAGAACGUCGUGAGACAGUUCGGUCCCUAUCUGCCGUGGGCGCUGGAGAAUUGAGGGGGGCUGCUCCUAGUACGAGAGGACCGGAGUGGACGCAUCACUGGUGUUCGGGUUGUCAUGCCAAUGGCACUGCCCGGUAGCUAAAUGCGGAAGAGAUAAGUGCUGAAAGCAUCUAAGCACGAAACUUGCCCCGAGAUGAGUUCUCCCUGAGACUUUAAGUCUCCUGAAGGAACGUUGAAGACGACGACGUUGAUAGGCCGGGUGUGUAAGCGCAGCGAUGCGUUGAGCUAACCGGUACUAAUGAACCGUGAGGCUUAACCUUACAACGCCGAAG
Molecule: ribosomal RNA, 552 nt
Filed under: Klebsiella pneumoniae
Lineage: Bacteria; Pseudomonadati; Pseudomonadota; Gammaproteobacteria; Enterobacterales; Enterobacteriaceae
Description: bacterial LSU rRNA
Rfam family: Bacterial large subunit ribosomal RNA
Source: RNAcentral